RNAcentral lists this ribosomal RNA (468 nucleotides) under uncultured bacterium. RNAcentral's name for it is "bacterial SSU rRNA". It matches the Rfam family "Bacterial small subunit ribosomal RNA", at positions 335 to 795 of the family's 1533-position model. The record is from RNAcentral.
ACUCCUACGGGAGGCAGCAGUGGGGAAUUUUGGACAAUGGGGGCAACCCUGAUCCAGCCAUGCCGCGUGCGGGAAGAAGGCCUUCGGGUUGUAAACCGCUUUUAGCCGGGAAGAAAAGGCAGGGGCUAACACUCUCUGUUCUUGACGGUACCGGCGGAAUAAGCACCGGCUAACUACGUGCCAGCAGCCGCGGUAAUACGUAGGGUGCGAGCGUUAAUCGGAAUUACUGGGCGUAAAGCGUGCGCAGGCGGUUCGUUAAGUCCGAUGUGAAAGCCCCGGGCUCAACCUGGGAAUGGCAUUGGAUACUGGCGGGCUUGAGUGUGGCAGAGGGGGGUGGAAUUCCGCGUGUAGCAGUGAAAUGCGUAGAGAUGCGGAGGAACACCGAUGGCGAAGGCAGCCCCCUGGGCUGACACUGACGCUCAGGCACGAAAGCGUGGGGAGCAAACAGGAUUAGAUACCCUGGUAGUC